UACGGAGGGGGCGAGCGUUAUUCGGAAUUAUUGGGCGUAAAGGGCGCGUAGGCGGCUUGAUAAGUCAAAGGUGAAAUCCCUCGGCUCAACUGAGGAACUGCCUUUGAAACUGUCUGGCUUGAGGCCGGGAGGGGGUAGCGGAAUUCCCAGUGUAGCGGUGAAAUGCGUAGAUACUGGGAGGAACACCGGUGGCGAAGGCGGCGACCUGGACCGGUUCUGACGCUGAUGCGCGAAAGCGUGGGUAGCAAACAGG
Molecule: ribosomal RNA, 253 nt
Filed under: uncultured bacterium
Lineage: Bacteria
Description: partial 16S ribosomal RNA
Rfam family: Bacterial small subunit ribosomal RNA
Source: RNAcentral